RNAcentral lists this ribosomal RNA (460 nucleotides) under uncultured bacterium. RNAcentral describes it as "partial 16S ribosomal RNA". It matches the Rfam family "Bacterial small subunit ribosomal RNA", at positions 338 to 795 of the family's 1533-position model. The record is from RNAcentral.
CCUACGGGAGGCAGCAGUGAGGAAUAUUGGUCAAUGGACGAGAGUCUGAACCAGCCAAGUAGCGUGAAGGAUGACUGCCCUAUGGGUUGUAAACUUCUUUUAUAUGGGAAUAAAACGUUCCACGUGUGGGAUUUUGUAUGUACCAUAUGAAUAAGGCUCGGCUAACUCCGUGCCAGCAGCCGCGGUAAUACGGGGGAUCCGAGCGUUAACCGGAUUUAUUGGGUUUAAAGGGAGCGUAGGUGGAUUGUUAAGUCAGUUGUGAAAGUUUGCGGCUCAACCGUAAAAUUGCAGUUGAAACUGGCAGUCUUGAGUACAGUAGAGGUGUGCGGAAUGCGUGGUGUAGCGGUGAAAUGCUUAGAUAUCACGAAGAACUCCGAUUGCGAAGGCAGUUCACUGGACUGCAACUGACACUGAGGCUCGAAAGUGUGGGUAUCAAACAGGAUUAGAUACCCCAGUAGUC